Molecule: transfer RNA, 76 nt
Filed under: Erwinia phage Hena1
Lineage: Duplodnaviria; Heunggongvirae; Uroviricota; Caudoviricetes
Description: tRNA-Ala
Rfam family: tRNA
About the family: Transfer RNA (tRNA) molecules are approximately 80 nucleotides in length. Their secondary structure includes four short double-helical elements and three loops (D, anti-codon, and T loops). Further hydrogen bonds mediate the characteristic L-shaped molecular structure. tRNAs have two regions of fundamental functional importance: the anti-codon, which is responsible for specific mRNA codon recognition, and the 3' end, to which the tRNAs corresponding amino acid is attached (by aminoacyl-tRNA synthetases). tRNAs cope with the degeneracy of the genetic code in two manners: having more than one tRNA (with a specific anti-codon) for a particular amino acid; and 'wobble' base-pairing, i.e. permitting non-standard base-pairing at the 3rd anti-codon position.
Source: RNAcentral
GGGGAAUUAGCUCAGUUGGUAGAGCGUCUGCCUUGCACGUAGAAGGUCAAGAGUUCAAAUCUCUUAUUCUCCACCA